AAUUUUGGACAAUGGGGGAAACCCUGAUCCAGCCAUCCCGCGUGUAUGAUGAAGGCCUUCGGGUUGUAAAGUACUUUUGGCAGAGAAGAAAAGGCAUCCCCUAAUACGGGAUGCUGCUGACGGUAUCUGCAGAAUAAGCACCGGCUAACUACGUGCCAGCAGCCGCGGUAAUACGUAGGGUGCAAGCGUUGUCCGGAUUUACUGGGCGUAAAGGGUGAGUAGGCGGUAACGUGUGUCAGAUGUUUAAUCUAUGGGCUCAACCCAUAUCAGCAUUUGAAACUACGUAACUUGAGUGCAGGAGAGGUAAGUAGAAUUCCACGUGUAGCAGUGAAAUGCGUAGAUAUGUGGAGGAAUACCGAUGGCGAAGGCAGCCCCCUGGGAUAAUACUGACGCUCAGACACGAAAGCGUGGGGAGCAAACAGG
RNAcentral lists this ribosomal RNA (423 nucleotides) under uncultured bacterium. RNAcentral's name for it is "partial 16S ribosomal RNA". It matches the Rfam family "Bacterial small subunit ribosomal RNA", at positions 360 to 776 of the family's 1533-position model. The record is from RNAcentral.